AAUGGUAUCAUAUAGAAUUGAUUUCUAUAGCUUGUCUUGAUUGUAUCGAGUUGUUUGUGGCUAGAUUCGAGUCAUUCGGAAUUCGAUUCGCAAGGCAAAGGCUCGUUGGAGUAGAGAUUUGUAUGGUUUGAGGGCUGAAGAUUCACGUACUUCUGGGCACAGUGGUUGCUAGCUUUGGAGCUUUAUCUAUUUGGAGACUAUUGGGGUAGCUGCCUUGGCGUACGCAGACCUCGACUAUCCCUUUAUUUGUAUUGUUCUAUCUUUCUAGAGAUUUAUUUUUAACAGUUAGACUGUUUUGUCAUAUAGAUGCUCAUGUACUCAGUGAUACCCGAAUUUUGGGGGAUUUUGUAUUGAGCCGCGGUAUUUUCUUAUCAGUUAAAUUAUGAGAUUUUUCACUAUUAAGGUUUUUUCA
Nicotiana tabacum (common tobacco) is the source of this 412-nucleotide non-coding RNA. The record is from RefSeq and is a predicted model, not a curated record. Lineage: Eukaryota; Viridiplantae; Streptophyta; Magnoliopsida; Solanales; Solanaceae.